UUUACUAACUAGUGUUGUUAGGAUUGUAGUUGUAAAUUUAUGGUAAAUGUUUGUUUUUAUCAUUUUUUGGAGAUUUGUUUGGUUAGAUAUGGCGAGGGGGAGUCUUUAGGGAAAUUCUGGUGGUAAUGAUAAUGGAGAAGGUAUGAAGAGUGCUUGUAGUGCUCGGCCGUUGAGGGUUCCCUUUCUAGGUGAUGUGUUCUG
Molecule: long non-coding RNA, 201 nt
Filed under: Gossypium raimondii (Peruvian cotton)
Lineage: Eukaryota; Viridiplantae; Streptophyta; Magnoliopsida; Malvales; Malvaceae
Description: long non-coding RNA (GRAI_LNC002992)
Source: RNAcentral